This 369-nucleotide long non-coding RNA is filed under the name Mytilus galloprovincialis (Mediterranean mussel). The record is from RNAcentral. Lineage: Eukaryota; Metazoa; Mollusca; Bivalvia; Mytilida; Mytilidae.
GUCAAAGUACGGCCUUCAACACGGAGCCUUGGCUAUAAUGUAUGGUAUUUUUCAUAAGAGAUAAAAAAAAAAAAAAUAAGAAAUAUAUAUUUUUUUGCAAUAAUAAUGAUAUAUAUUAGUAUCUGCAUUUAUCUUAUAAAUAUAUAUAUUAGUAUCUGCAUUUAUCUUAUAAAUUUGUUGUGUGGUUUGAAAGUGAUCUUCAAUGUCGUCAUUUGCAUUGUUAAUGGACCAAGUAAGCCUUGUAUGAAAUCUGAUGACCAGUUUAACACUAAACAGAUUGCUUCGUCAGAGGUUGACAGGUAUAAUAAAAGACCACCACCAAAAACAGGACAUGAAUGUGGAGUAAAAAAAGGCGGCUGACAAUUUAUG